This 496-nucleotide ribosomal RNA is filed under the name uncultured bacterium. RNAcentral describes it as "partial 16S ribosomal RNA". It matches the Rfam family "Bacterial small subunit ribosomal RNA", at positions 28 to 506 of the family's 1533-position model. The record is from RNAcentral.
GACGAACGCUGGCGGCGUGCCUAAUACAUGCAAGUAGAACGCUGAAGAGAGGAGCUUGCUCUUCUUGGAUGAGUUGCGAACGGGUGAGUAACGCGUAGGUAACCUGCCUUGUAGCGGGGGAUAACUAUUGGAAACGAUAGCUAAUACCGCAUAACAAUGGAUGACACAUGUCAUUUAUUUGAAAGGGGCAAUUGUUCCACUACAAGAUGGACCUGCGUUGUAUUAGCUAGUAGGUGAGGUAAUGGCUCACCUAGGCGACGAUACAUAGCCGACCUGGGAGGGUGAUCGGCCACACUGGGACUGAGACACGGCCCAGACUCCUACGGGAGGCAGCAGUAGGGAAUCUUCGGCAAUGGGGGCAACCCUGACCGAGCAACGCCGCGUGAGUGAAGAAGGUUUUCGGAUCGUAAAGCUCUGUUGUAAGUCAAGAACGGGUGUGAGAGUGGAAAGUUCACACUGUGACGGUAGCUUACCAGAAAGGGACGGCUAACUACGU